CCCAAUUUUCUCCUUCCCCGUAAAACCACAAACCCCAAACUGAACCGCCAAACUCGUGAGACCCCAAAACCUCAGACCCGUAAAACUCUCUCGCUCACCUUCGCCUGUGCUUCGCCGGCGUUCUUAUUGCUUGCCGGAGCCCUCCUUUCCCUCUGUUCGCGUCGUUGCUGCCAGUGACGUUGUUGCUGCUGCUGUCCUAUUUUUCUCUCUACUCUAUUGUGUUGUGCGUGUGGUGCUGCUCGCAAGCCACCACACCGCUGCUAUUGUUCGUGGUUACUGUUGCGGUGGCGGUGUUCGCGCCGCCGUGUCCUACUGUUGUUCGUCGGUGUGUUGGUUUGCCGCUGCUCACUGCUCUGUUCGCGGUUGUGCUUCGACGCGAUGUACCACUAGCUGCCGUCGUAGCUCCUCCUGUCUACUGCCGCUUCACCGUAGCUGUUGCUCCUUGUCGAUGAUCUCCGCCGCUGCCGGAGCCCAUUCCCCCCCUUGUCGUGUCUUCCCUGCUCUUGAAGCAGAGGUAAAGGCUAAUUCACUGUUUUCCUCUUAAAUUCUAAUUUCAAGAUUUGUAAAUUAAUUCCAAGUUGCUGUCGUUUGUUGUAAUUGUUGCUUCGUUGUUGUUGUAAUUGUUAUUGGUUGUUGGUGGUGGUGGAGUUGUUGUAGUUUUCGAGUUGUUGUGGUGGUUAUUUGUGUUGUCGUUGUGCUGUUGUUGGUGGUGUUGUGUUGGUUUAUAAAAGAAGAGAUGAUGUUGAAUUAGUUUGGCAAGAGUUAAGUUUAGUUAGUUCAAAUCUACAAUUUAGAAUUAUGAUUUGAGGAUUAUGGAAUGAGGAUGAUGAAGGUUAAUAAUUUCUUGAUUAGAAUUGGUUAUGGUUUUAGUUGGUAGUUGAGAUUAGUUUGAGAAUAGUUAUUAAUUAUCAUCACUGUUGUGAGGUGAUUCUUGGAGAAUGAUUAUGGAAUUGAAUCUCAUUUAGAGAUGAAGAUUAUUGAAGGUGUUGUUGGAAUUGGAUUGCAAUUCAGGUUUGAUAUUCAGAGCUCGAAAUUCGAAGUGGAGCAAGAUCAAGGUGUCAUAGUGGCUUAAGGAUUAAGCUUGUAUUUUAGAUAGUUGGUUUGAGAAUAGUUAUUGAUAUUUUCGAUGUAUAAUAUUUGGGAAUUUAGUUCAAUUAUUUGGGUAUUUAAAGAUAUUUUUCCGCUGCGAUUUUAUUAA
This is a long non-coding RNA of Beta vulgaris subsp. vulgaris (sugar beet), 1198 nucleotides long. RefSeq lists it as uncharacterized. Lineage: Eukaryota; Viridiplantae; Streptophyta; Magnoliopsida; Caryophyllales; Amaranthaceae. The record is from RefSeq and is a predicted model, not a curated record. The transcript is spliced from 2 exons.